Molecule: ribosomal RNA, 1101 nt
Filed under: Triticum aestivum (bread wheat)
Lineage: Eukaryota; Viridiplantae; Streptophyta; Magnoliopsida; Poales; Poaceae
Description: partial small subunit ribosomal RNA
Source: RNAcentral
AUGCCGGAUCUACCAGAUUAUCUAAUACCAAGACUAAAGAUGUGAUUCCAAGAUGCAGAGAAAGCAAGGGAAUUUUAUAACAGAUACACCACACAGGCUGGUUUUGGAAUCGGGAAGCGGGGGGGGGAUGACAAUCACAAGUAUUUUGUUUGCGCGUUCCAGGGGAAACACACAACUUCUAUUUCAGAGGCUGAUAGGCAGCGAAACAAAACAUCGCAGAGGACAGGCUGCAAUGCAAGAAUGAGGGUGAAGGUGCAGGAGGAUAACACAUGUGUGGCAGUGGACAUUGAGUACAAUCAUAAUCACCAACUCAUGCAAACUGAUGACAUGCUGGUAUUCUUGCACUCACACAAGAAUUAUGAUCCCACUAUUCUGGAGUAUGUAAAGCUCCUGCAGUACCAUGAUGUCAAGCAUACAAUAAUCAUGUCCAUGCAAUUAGAAAAUGAAGAUGGAAGCUACUUCCUAAGCAUGACCGGACAAGACCUACUAAACUAGAAAGCCAUGAAUGCAAAGAAAGAUGAUUUGGAUGAUGUAUUGAAACUUGUAUCAUUCUUCAAAGACAUGAAGGCAGUCAAUGAUGAGUUUUUCUAUGGCAUACAAGUAGACAAGGACAAGUCAAUUAAAAACAUUUUCUGGUCCAAUGCCAGCUGCCGAGGAGCCUAUCAAGACUUCUGCGAUUGCAUAACAUUCGACACAACUUACAAGACCAACAGAUUUCAUAUGCCUCUGGGAGUGUUUGUUGGAACAAAUCAUCACUUGCAGUCAACGAUAUUUGCUUUUGCCCUGAUCAGAGAUGAAGAUGCAAAGUCAUUCAAGUGGCUGUUCGAUACAUUUGUAUGGUGCAUGAACAACAAGCACCCCACUUGCAUUCUAACGGACCAGUGUUCGUUGAUGGUGAAAGCUAUACCACAAUCAUUCCCAAAAACCGUCCACAAGCUAUGCCGUUGGCACAUCCUGAAGAAGUACAAGGAAUACCUAGCGUUGAUGUACAAAAAGUAUAAAACAUUCAAAGAGGAGUUCACAGCUAUAUUAAACUGGCCGCUGAUGCCAACGGACUUCGAAGUUGCCUGUGCUGAACUCGUGCACAAGUACACCAAAUGA